This 335-nucleotide long non-coding RNA is filed under the name Malus domestica (apple). RNAcentral describes it as "long non-coding RNA (MDOM_LNC018868)". Lineage: Eukaryota; Viridiplantae; Streptophyta; Magnoliopsida; Rosales; Rosaceae. The record is from RNAcentral.
AAUCGGCAUACCAUGGCUCACUUACCUCAAUGGACAGCAGCUGCUUAUCUGGGAAUGCUUCUAGGAUGGGUAAGGGCUCCUCAUUGAGUACCAAACGGCUCAAGUGGUUAGCCACCAUGUUCUCACUUCCUUUCUUGUCCCAGAUUUCGAUAUCGAACUCUUGGAGAAAAAACAUCCAGUGAAUAAGCCUUGGUUUGGCCUCUUUCUUUGCAAGUAAAUAUUUCAAAGCUGCAUGAUCAGAAUAAAUGAUGACUUUAGUUCCAAGUAAAUAAGAUGACAUUUAAGCGUUAUUUAAGGCAUUGCAUAAUAGAUGACAUGCGGCUGCUUGUCCUUCC